RNAcentral lists this ribosomal RNA (492 nucleotides) under uncultured bacterium. Its description in RNAcentral is "partial 16S ribosomal RNA". It matches the Rfam family "Bacterial small subunit ribosomal RNA", at positions 29 to 507 of the family's 1533-position model. The record is from RNAcentral.
AGUGAACGCUGGCGGUAGGCCUAACACAUGCAAGUCGAACGGCAGCACAGUAAGAGCUUGCUCUUACGGGUGGCGAGUGGCGGACGGGUGAGGAAUACAUCGGAAUCUACUUUUUCGUGGGGGAUAACGUAGGGAAACUUACGCUAAUACCGCAUACGACCUACGGGUGAAAGCAGGGGAUCUUCGGACCUUGCGCGAUUGAAUGAGCCGAUGUCGGAUUAGCUAGUUGGCGGGGUAAAGGCCCACCAAGGCGACGAUCCGUAGCUGGUCUGAGAGGGUGAUCAGCCACACUGGAACUGAGACACGGUCCAGACUCCUACGGGAGGCAGCAGUGGGGAAUAUUGGACAAUGGGCGCAAGCCUGAUCCAGCCAUACCGCGUGGGUGAAGAAGGCCUUCGGGUUGUAAAGCCCUUUUGUUGGGAAAGAAAAGCAGCAGGUUAAUACCCCGCUGUUCUGACGGUACCCAAAGAAUAAGCGCCGGCUAACUUCGUG